GGGAAAACAAUACGGAAGGCCAGAGGGAGGAGGGGUAAAUAAGAAUGCUUAAAAAUGACAUAGGAAAUGAUGUAAUAAUUAUUAGUAAUAGUUUAAUAGCAUUAAGUGUUGUUUUAUAUUUACCUAAAAUUACACCUAAGUGUAUAUGUAUACAAACGUAUAUAGUUUAGAUGAAGUUACACCAUCUGGGGUUAUUGUACCCCGCCAAGAACCAUAGACUAUUUAGCAAAGCCCCUAGUACCAAGCACGAGAAACCUCCUUUAAGUUGCUUGUCAGAAGAGUGCGAGAGGAUCCCAAAACAAGGUAGGGUAGUUCUACUUAGUUGCCUCCUAGAAGUUGAAGGUAAGUCCAUAUUGCUGAAGACAUCACAUCCUUAGAGGAUUUGAGCAUCCUUUCAUAGUACAAGAAGUUAAUCUAUAAGCUAAGGGAGGAAGCAACCAAUAGUCCUACCCAGCUGUGAUGUCACAACAGUGACCAGCACAGCCAGAUAUUCCUAAAAGAACAUUAGUGGCAUUCGUGUCCUGGCAGUAAUCAACAGCUGUCUAACUGGACUCAAGGCCUGCUUAACAGGAGGGAAAUCACGCCUGCUACUGUAAACCUAGUCAACUGCAUAUAGCUAAUGAGAUCCUGGACCUAGAGAACCUACAACUCCCAUUUACCUAAACUAAUGUAGUUCCUAACUGUAUUCUAAAUACUUAUCCUUAUAUCCACAGGUAAACACAGAUCUCACCUCUCAUCAAAGAAGUUUCUUUUUGCAGCAGCAGUAGCAAAUCAUCACAGACAGACAUGACUUGUCAAAGGCCCAAAUGAUAAACAAACACUACAACACAACACCUACAUCUAAGGCUCAGAGAACAUCCCAGAAGAGGUAGUGGAAAGAUUUUUUAGAGCCAGAGGAGUAGAAAGUCUGCUUAAGUGUGUCCUCUAGCUAUGACAGGGAAGCGACGACACAACAUGGCUGCCUAAAGAAGACGUGAACAAUUAAUUACAACAGUUGGCAUCCCAGUGAAGAUGGGGAUAUCUAGGCCCCACCCAUAGAUGAAGACCUACAAGCUGAAAGGGGGAGAAUGAGUCUUCCCCAAGGAUGAGGCCCCUGGUUAUUCAAUACCAAGAGGGUUUUCUCACUGGGGCCUAAGGCAGGUUAGGCUGGUGGUCAGCAAGCCCAGGGAUCUGCUUGUCUCCACGUCCGCAGUACUGGAUCACAAGCCUGCAUUCCCACUCAGGCCCUCCUGACCCUCUGUUUCCCCAGCCCCACCAUUCUGCUUUUGUAGAUCACCUUUUUAAUAAAUAUUAAUCUUAAUCUGA
Non-coding RNA from Peromyscus maniculatus bairdii (prairie deer mouse), 1305 nucleotides. NCBI's taxonomy places the organism in Eukaryota, Metazoa, Chordata, Mammalia, Rodentia, Cricetidae. The record is from RefSeq and is a predicted model, not a curated record.